GAGAUUCUUCAAAUUAGAAUUCAAUUAUUAUUAAACAAUUAUUCUGUUUGCAAUAAAAUAACCGUGAUGAGAUUUAUUAUUGAUUUGCUUUUUUUCGUAAUUGCAAGAAGGGGACCAAACAUAGAAGGCUUGAGUUCAGUAUGGGAUGAAACUGAUAAUGAUUUGUGUGCGAUAAAAAGCCAGAAGUAUUUGUGUGCUUCGUUUAAAUUUUAUUUUGCUCAUUUUUCCAUCGGAAAUUGGCUAGGAACUUUUGGUUACAAGAAGUCUUAGGUUUCGUCAUCGGUGAACGGGAUGUGAAGUCGAGGAUUCCAUAAAUAUUACACAGGCAGAAAGCAUCAAUGGAGCCAUCAAUGGAGUAACUUCCAAUUUUUAAAAUAAAAUAACAAUUGAACAACGCAGGAUGAUAUCGCACGUAAUCGUCAUCAGAGGAGAUGGUGAACGAGGCCAGGGACGGAACUACGUUUCGCUAGGAAGGGAUCGUGGAGUACUACUAACUAUAAUAGAUACUAGAGUAGAAUGAUUCGACCGAAAUAAAGAUAUUCAAACGC
Molecule: long non-coding RNA, 548 nt
Organism: Armigeres subalbatus
Lineage: Eukaryota; Metazoa; Arthropoda; Insecta; Diptera; Culicidae
Exons: 3
Source: RefSeq, a predicted model, not a curated record